AGGACGAAGGGCUGAAGAAAGCCUUCAUGAGGUCCAGCAUCAUGAUCACCAAAGCUGUUGCCUACAGCAGGAGGCAAGACGUCCAUUUGCCCCAUAAACAGGAACUGCUCACAAACAUCAUUAAGUCGUUGACGAUGAGCCCACAAGACCCUUGUCCAUUGUAAAUCUCCAUCAAGCGAUUGUCACCAUCACCUGCAUGAGGAUUUUUAUCACCAGAUGAUGACCACCUGCAACACUAUGCUAACCGGCUUGCUGUCCGAGGCUCCCAAUUUGGAUUCCCUGCAGGAUGUCUUGAUUUUAAAGAGGGAUUCUUUCUUGGAGUUGGUCGCAUGGUCAGCUGGAUUUGGUGAUUCUGUCCACCUGUCGUGUCCCUCCCAAGGACCUGGGCUAGGCAAAAGUGGCUGUUGGAUGGGAAAGGUAUCAUCGCAGCUGCCAAAUGUGACAACUCGUAACGGCCACCGGAAAACUUGCUGUGGGAGAAUUCAACAAUUCAAUUUAAUUAAUUUAAAUAGUUAAAAAAUGAUUUUAAUUUUUGUCAUUUAUAUUUUGUUUUGUCCCUCCUCUGGCAUCUUUUC
Ahaetulla prasina is the source of this 575-nucleotide long non-coding RNA. RefSeq lists it as uncharacterized. The transcript has 3 exons. The record is from RefSeq and is a predicted model, not a curated record. NCBI's taxonomy places the organism in Eukaryota, Metazoa, Chordata, Lepidosauria, Squamata, Colubridae.